This is a long non-coding RNA of Bactrocera dorsalis (oriental fruit fly), 3431 nucleotides long. RefSeq lists it as uncharacterized. NCBI's taxonomy places the organism in Eukaryota, Metazoa, Arthropoda, Insecta, Diptera, Tephritidae. The transcript is spliced from 4 exons. The record is from RefSeq and is a predicted model, not a curated record.
UUAUGUUCAGACCGAAAAUUUCAAAGAUUAGAUUACAUUUAAUCAUUUCAUAACCCAACAGUGUUCUCACUGCCGUUAGAAAGAUCAAAAAACAGCUGUUAUUGCCAUUCAUGAAGUCACAUCGCUUAAUAUUUAUCAAAAGAAAACAUUGUCAUAUAGUAUUUUGUAAUAAAAGCCGUCUUUUUUUCAAAUAUUUUCCAUAUAAUAGAAAUAGUGGAUGCAUUUUUUCAUUUGUUAAGUCGAUUUUCAGGUGAAAUUAGAUUCAUUGCUUUAAAAAAAUUUGUUUGUUUACAUUUUUUCCCCUUUGUAGUGUCUAAAUCAGCUGUGAUAAUGUAACAGAUUUCAAAUGUUGACAAAUAGAUGGCGCAAAAUCAGAGUCGCACAGAGAGAUUUUGCGUGGAUCAGUUUCAAAUCAUUUCAAUGAAGUGAUCUGGAACUGUCAUUUUUGUAUGGCGAAAUCUUGAUAAUUUUUUAAGAUUAGUGGGAUAAUCUAUUCAACAGCCGAAAUCGUGUGAUUAAGUGUCGGUCUGAACAUAGUAUAAGAAACCUUUGCUUUGUUUACAUACAUUUACUCAACUCUAGAAAAUCUUAGGGUAUUGUGUAACACUUUUUUUGCUACUUUCGUGGUAAUUAGGGUGUUGUGUUAGCAUUUAAGCUACAAAUAAAUUUUAAAGUAUGAUGAGCAGCACUCUAAUACUUGUAGAUAUUAUACCGUGACGUCACCAGGCCGGAGUGCAGCUGGCCAAGCUGACCUCGGGUCCUCAGACAGUCGUGUUUAUUGCCCUACAAUAAACAAACCUAUGUGAAACCCUAGUACCCAACAAUCAUCAGAGUGGUCAAAAAAAAAUAUUAUUAUUGAAACUGGACAUCACCAAGAUCAGCUCAUUACAGGACAUACUAUUGAUGUUAUAGUAAAUAAUAAUAAUAACGAACGUCAAAAACGGCACAGAGAGCGGAACAUAGAAAAAUUGAAACAGCGUGAAGCGGAGAGAAGGAAACGUAUACAAUGUUCUCAAAGUAUUGCCGGACCAUCUAUGUACUUCUUCAGACACAAAUAUAUUGAAAAUGAGUAAUGAAGAAAUAAACAUAACAGCUGCUUUUCAAAAAAAAAAGAGAAUGUCAGCAAAGAUAUAGGGAGCGAAAUAGAGAAAAAUUGAAGGAGCGUGAACCAGAAAGAAGAAGACGUCUAAAAGAUGCAGAACUGAUCACAGAGUUAUCAAUUUCUCUGAAUUUAGGAUUUGCAAAAAUAAUUACCAAUGAACCAAUAAUAACAAGAGAUGAAAAAAGUACGGAUUCUCAAAAUAUAGAAAUGCAACAUGUAGUUGUUGAAGUACUCGUAUCUCAGCAAAAUGGAAGAGGUCAAGCAAGCGCCAACGUAACAGACCAACAGACCAACCAAAUAACUAUAAUCAAUUUAGAUACCACAAAUCAGCUCAUGAAUAUUUUGAGAAGAACUUCAAAAAUAAUGAAUUUUGGCAUGCUUGCACGGUUUGCGAUCGACUAUGGCUUAAAAUAAUUCUAAACGACUUAAAGCCGAGUCGAGCGGAAAUUCGCGUGUUGCGUAAAUGGGAAAAUGCGCUCGGCUCGGCUUCAAGCGUUCAAGGCCUUGUUACACGUAACGAGUACAGUGGCGAGACAGUAACUCGGCCGAGUGCUCGCUUCGUUUAAACAGUAAGGCGAGUAAUGAACCGAGUCAGUGGGCGAGUAUAGUGGCGAGAGAGUCACUAGAAUCACAUUUUGUUUACUAGGCCGAGUGCUUCUUUUUUUUCACUCUUUUGCCCCUUCUGAGCUAAUCACUGACUCGCUCGUUGCAUGUGAACACGCGUUCGGUCUUCACUCGCCACUCGGUCGAUUUUUAUGUUGUGUAUGUUCAGAUUUCUGAACAGUUCUUAACGGCUACAAUUGUAAAGAAGAUAUUUUUGUAAAGAUACAAUUGUCAUAGUUCAAAUAUUUAUGUUCAUGAAUCUAGUCUUAAACGUAGAUAUCUAUUUACAAAUACCCAUUUCUAUCAACAAUGUAAUAAAUGUUCAUUUCGGGUAUAUUGAUUAGUGACCUUAGUAUUUAAUGUAUGCAAGGUAGAACUUCAUUAAAAACUCUUUUAAAAUGUCUUUUUCUACCAAACAUUGUAAAUAAAACUUUGCAAAACUUCACUGUCUAACUAGAUGAACAAAAUACGUGUAAACCUCUACUCGCCAACGCAACUCUCUCGGCCGAGUCACUGUCUCGCCACUGUACUCGUUACGUGUGAUCAAGGCAUCACUCUGCAGGCACCCUAACGGACAAGAUGCAGAUACAGUCCAGAAAUUCAUGUCUCUCAAACACCCAUUGGCGAUAUGUGUGCUUCACAUGUUAAAUUAGAAGAAGGAAGUCAAUUAAUUAUGAUUGUUGUGUACAUUUCACCUAAUAAAAAAAAUUAUAUUAUUUCAUUUUUACAUGAGUGGUUAUUUCCGUACAGUCGCAGAGGUUCAAUAAUUUUUAAAACAGAUAAAGAUAAACUACCAUUGAUUUUGGCUGGGGAUUUCAAUGUUAAUUUUGCAAAAAAAUAAUCAAUGCCAUUAAUAUCGUUCCUCCAAGAAGAAUUUCAGUUGGAAAUAAACAACAAUCCGAGAGAAUGUACUACAAGAUAUGGAACAACAACAGAUGCUGUAUUUAUUAGACGUCUGUCUGUGAUGUCUAAUACUUUUGUAACAUACUUCAGUAAUCAUCGACCAAUUGUCACAGUAAUACCAUCAGUGGCAACUUCGAAUGUAAUUAUUACGGAAGUCACUAAUGAAACUAAUUGAGUUGACGUGAUUUUUAACAAAUAUUUGCAUAAAAUUUUGUAUACAAAGAAAAUAAAUGUUUAUUGAAUAAACUAUCUAUCAUCAUUAUCUGGAAAAAAUGCAUAUUAUUGUGUACCAUAUUUAGUUCCUUUCAUAAUCGAUCUUUCACAUCUGCCAGCUGCUAACUAACAGCUCACUCUUUUUUUCGUUUUUUAAACUGUGUUUUUUAAUAGUUAGUUAUUCUAUUUCGGUUCGUUAUUAGGGUCCGUUUGUUCAACAUAUUUAUUUUCUUUAAAUGGAUUUUCUAAUUAUCCUUUCAAAAGAGAACCCUUUCUGUAUCUAGUGUCAAUGUUGUAUUCGUGUCGGUCAUCAUUUAUUUUUUGUUUUUUUAUUUUUUGCGUGUCCAGUGUUGGUUGUCAGGCGUAUAAGAAAUAUGUAAGCAAGUGUCUCUCCAGUAGUUUCAUGCAUGGUUUUAUGAUUGUAUAUGUAAAGAAUAUUUUCCAUUUUGCCUACUUUAAGUUCAUUGUCAUUGGAGCAAUUGAUUAUGCGAAUUUUUUUAUUUGUUGCUUUGUGCAGUCUCCCAACAUUUUCCACAACCGUCUUUGCUAUAUUUAGUUGUAAUUCAAUGCCCUCGCCUUUUAGUCAUCGCUUAAGAGAAAGACUAGAUAA